Molecule: ribosomal RNA, 425 nt
Filed under: uncultured bacterium
Lineage: Bacteria
Description: partial 16S ribosomal RNA
Rfam family: Bacterial small subunit ribosomal RNA
Source: RNAcentral
GUGAGGAAUUUUGCGCAAUGGGGGCAACCCUGACGCAGCGACGCCGCGUGGAGGACGAAGUCUUUCGGGAUGUAAACUCCUGUCAGUGGGGACGAUAAUGACGGUACCCACAGAGGAAGCACCGGCUAACUCCGUGCCAGCAGCCGCGGUAAGACGGAGGGUGCAAGCGUUGUUCGGAAUUACUGGGCGUAAAGCGUAUGUAGGCGGCAAGUUAAGUUCAAUGUUAAAGCCCACGGCUCAACCGAGGAGAUGCAUUGAAUACUGGCUAGCUAGAGGGUGUUAGAGGAAGACGGAAUUCCCAGUGUAGCGGUGAAAUGCGUAGAUAUUGGGAGGAACAUCGGUAGCGAAAGCGGUCUUCUGGGACAUACCUGACGCUGAGGUACGAAAGCGUGGGGAGCAAACGGGAUUAGAUACCCUUGUAGUCC